CUAGUUGGCGAGGUAACGGCUCACCAAGGCAACGACGGGUAGCUGGUCUGAGAGGAUGGCCAGCCACAUUGGGACUGAGAUACGGCCCAGACUCCUACGGGAGGCAGCAGUGGGGAAUCUUGCGCAAUGGCCUAACGGCUGACGCAGCGACGCCGCGUGUGGGAUGAAGCUCUUCGGAGUGUAAACCACUGUUGCCCGGGACGAACAGCUCGAUUAAUCGAGCCUGACGGUACCGGGUGAGGAAGCACCGGCUAACUCCGUGCCAGCAGCCGCGGUAAUACGGGGGGUGCGAGCGUUGUCCGGAAUCACUGGGCGUAAAGGGCGCGUAGGUGGUUUGAUAAGGGUGUGGUGAAAGUCCGGGGCUCAACCCCGGAUCUGCCGUGCCGACUGUCAAACUCGAGGGCUGUAGAGGCAGACGGAAUUCCGGGUGUAGCGGUGGAAUGCGUAGAGAUCCGGAGGAAGACCGGUGGCGAAGGCGGUCUGCUGGGCAGUUUCUGACACUGAGGCGCGACAGCGUGGGGAGCAAACAGGAUUAGAUACCCUGGUAGUCCACGCCGUAAACGAUGGGUACUAGGUGCCUGGGGGAGCGACCCUCUGGGUGCCGGCGCUAACGCAGGAAGUACCCCGCCUGGGGAGUACGACCGCAAGGUUGAAACUCAAAGGAAUUGACG
This 671-nucleotide ribosomal RNA is filed under the name uncultured Gemmatimonadota bacterium. Its description in RNAcentral is "SSU rRNA". It matches the Rfam family "Bacterial small subunit ribosomal RNA", at positions 245 to 915 of the family's 1533-position model. The record is from RNAcentral. Lineage: Bacteria; Pseudomonadati; Gemmatimonadota.